Long non-coding RNA from Bufo bufo (common toad), 135 nucleotides. RefSeq lists it as uncharacterized. The record is from RefSeq and is a predicted model, not a curated record. The transcript is spliced from 3 exons. Lineage: Eukaryota; Metazoa; Chordata; Amphibia; Anura; Bufonidae.
UUCUGAGCGUAGGAGGCACGCACGUUUUCCCUGGUUUGUGAGAGAAAGAAAGAAGCCUCCUGGACUUUGUCUGGGGCUGCGGCCUGUAGUCUAUCGCCUUCAGAAGUGUUCUGCAUUGGGGACCAUCGGCCUGUA